ACCAGUGUGGUGUAGUGGUUUGAGUUCUGGACUACAACUCUGGAGACCAGGGUUCAAUUCCCUGCUUGAGCA
RNAcentral lists this transfer RNA (72 nucleotides) under Phrynosoma platyrhinos (Desert horned lizard). Its description in RNAcentral is "tRNA-OTHER". The record is from RNAcentral. Lineage: Eukaryota; Metazoa; Chordata; Lepidosauria; Squamata; Phrynosomatidae.